AUCAAGUCUCAGCCUUUUGGCUAAGAUCAAAUGUAGUAUCUGUUCUUAUCAGUUUAAUAUCUGAUAUGUACUCUAACCAAGGACAAUAUAUUAAAUGGCUUUUUGUAGCUCAGAGUUGGAAUAGGAGCUAGCUCCGUCCACUCCAUGCAUCCACCUGGUAUUGCCGUACUUCCAGGAACGGUGCAACCCCU
RNAcentral lists this small nuclear RNA (191 nucleotides) under Jaculus jaculus (lesser Egyptian jerboa). Its description in RNAcentral is "U2 spliceosomal RNA (ENSJJAG00000005147.1)". It matches the Rfam family "U2 spliceosomal RNA". Rfam says of the family: U2 is a small nuclear RNA (snRNA) component of the spliceosome (involved in pre-mRNA splicing). Complementary binding between U2 snRNA (in an area lying towards the 5' end but 3' to hairpin I) and the branchpoint sequence (BPS) of the intron results the bulging out of an unpaired adenosine, on the BPS, which initiates a nucleophilic attack at the intronic 5' splice site, thus starting the first of two transesterification reactions that mediate splicing. The record is from Rfam by way of RNAcentral. Lineage: Eukaryota; Metazoa; Chordata; Mammalia; Rodentia; Dipodidae.